RNAcentral lists this transfer RNA (69 nucleotides) under Semisulcospira libertina. RNAcentral describes it as "tRNA-Asp". The record is from RNAcentral. Lineage: Eukaryota; Metazoa; Mollusca; Gastropoda; Semisulcospiridae. RNAcentral also lists the same sequence under 1 other name.
AGAAAGUUAGUUAAAACAUAACAUAAGGUUGUCAGCUUUAUAUUACUGGCCUAAAUUUAGUACUUUCUA